UCAAUAUACAGUGAAUAUACAGUCAAUAUCUGAGAUUGCUAAAACUGCAUAUCUUUUCAGUGUUGUACUUUCAGACAACUGAAAAUUCAGUGAAGUGCCACUAGGAGCAGUAGGAACUGUCAAAAUUCAGUUACCUGUCACCAGGAGCUUUCAAAAUUCAGUUUGCUGUACAUGUGCUGAAGCCUGAUUGAAUCUUUUGUUGGUCUGAAAACCUGACACAAGGUAGGGUACUGACCCAUGGACAAACACAAUCACUAUUCAUACAGACCAUGUCGUCAUGGAAAACAUUUGCCUGAAAGCACUGUGAUCAUUCGAUCUGCAAGGCCACUGAAGUCGGUGCAUAAGUGCAUGAUGAUGGUGUGCGUAUGUUACGUGGCACUGCCGGUGGUUGGGAUCACCUGGUGGAUGAAACACAAUUGGAUUUUGUCAAUGUAGACUCUGUUUGUAGAAAGUUUGUGCUCUGUUAAGCAGAUCAGCGUGUGAGUAUAGGAUACACAUCAUUCUUUCAGUAUGCCUACUAGCUAGCACAAUUGUUCAGAGACUACUGUUUUUGCAAGAGACUGCAUUAAUCACUUGUCUAAGCCAAUAACUCUAGACUUUGCCAAACACAGCUUUAUCUUCUUGAGUCACUAGAUUGUCGGGUUAGCCUAGCCAUUCAGCUAAAAUUACACUAACUACGUUAACUAACAAAACAGUGUUAACUGAAAAAAAUUCAGUAGACAUCAGCAGAGCAAUUAUGAUCUGAACAAUUUUCAACAGAACAAUUUUCAGUAAUAGAACAAUUAUGAUCUAUUGAUAUUUGAUAAUGUACUCCAGAACUGUGAAUACUAAAUGAAACUUCGAGGAGGUCACCUUUAAUCUGAAUAAUAAAUUGUUUACAGGGAAGCUGUAGUACCAUAUGAAUGCACAAGAUGGAUGUUUUACUGUCAUGAUCUUUGUUUGCAAAUGUUUCAGUAAACAUCAUACUCCUCAAAUUCAGUUAAACUACUACACAGAAAAUUCAGAUCGACCUGUCAGAUAACAAGCUGACAGGAGUCAUCCCCAGCGAGCUCGGCAAGAUACCGACGCUCCACCUCUUCGAGAACCGCCUGCAAGGGAGUAGCAUCCCACGGUAGCUGGGCAAGAUGGGUGUCAUAAGGAGAAUAGACCUGUGCAAUUCCGAUGGAGUUUCAGAACCUGCAGCUGUUCUCUGACAACCAAAUCCAUGGUGGAAUCCCUUCUUUCUGGGGGCGAGAAAGCUCACCGAGGGUGCCUUGGCGGCGAACGGAA
Molecule: long non-coding RNA, 1269 nt
Filed under: Triticum aestivum (bread wheat)
Lineage: Eukaryota; Viridiplantae; Streptophyta; Magnoliopsida; Poales; Poaceae
Description: long non-coding RNA (TAES_LNC008111)
Source: RNAcentral